UACGUAGGCAGCAAGCGUUGUCCGGAGUUACUGGGCGUAAAGGGUGCGUAGGCGGCUUCUUAAGUCUGGUGUGAAAUCUCCCGGCUCAACUGGGAGGGUGCGCCGGAUACUGAGGGGCUAGAGUGUGGGAGAGGAAAGUGGAAUUCCUGGUGUAGCGGUGAAAUGCGUAGAUAUCAGGAGGAACACCGGUGGUGUAAACGGCUUUCUGGACCAUAACUGACGCUGAGGCACGAAAGCGUGGGUAGCAAACAGG
RNAcentral lists this ribosomal RNA (253 nucleotides) under uncultured bacterium. RNAcentral's name for it is "partial 16S ribosomal RNA". It matches the Rfam family "Bacterial small subunit ribosomal RNA", at positions 524 to 776 of the family's 1533-position model. The record is from RNAcentral.